GAUUAUGACGUACUUGUACUGAUUGAGAUUUUAACACGAAGUGAGUGGCGAACGGGUGAGUAACACGUGGGUAACCUGCCCAGAAGUAGGGGAUAACACCUGGAAACAGAUGCUAAUACCGUAUAACAGAGAAAACCGCAUGGUUUUCUUUUAAAAGAUGGCUCUGCUAUCACUUCUGGAUGGACCCGCGGCGUAUUAGCUAGUUGGUGAGGUAAAGGCUCACCAAGGCAGUGAUACGUAGCCGACCUGAGAGGGUAAUCGGCCACAUUGGGACUGAGACACGGCCCAGACUCCUACGGGAGGCAGCAGUAGGGAAUCUUCCACAAUGGACGCAAGUCUGAUGGAGCAACGCCGCGUGAGUGAAGAAGGGUUUCGGCUCGUAAAGCUCUGUUGUUAAAGAAGAACGUGGGUAAGAGUAACUGUUUACCCAGUGACGGUAUUUAACCAGAAAGCCACGGCUAACUACGUGCCAGCAGCCGCGGUAAUACGUAGGUGGCAAGCGUUAUCCGGAUUUAUUGGGCGUAAAGCGAGCGCAGGCGGUCUUUUAAGUCUAAUGUGAAAGCCUUCGGCUCAACCGAAGAAGUGCAUUGGAAACUGGGAGACUUGAGUGCAGAAGAGGACAGUGGAACUCCAUGUGUAGCGGUGAAAUGCGUAGAUAUAUGGAAGAACACCAGUGGCGAAGGCGGCUGUCUGGUCUGCAACUGACGCUGAGGCUCGAAAGCAUGGGUAGCGAACAGGAUUAGAUACCCUGGUAGUCCAUGCCGUAAACGAUGAUUACUAAGUGUUGGAGGGUUUCCGCCCUUCAGUGCUGCAGCUAACGCAUUAAGUAAUCCGCCUGGGGAGUACGACCGCAAGGUUGAAACUCAAAAGAAUUGACGGGGGCCCGCACAAGCGGUGGAGCAUGUGGUUUAAUUCGAAGCUACGCGAAGAACCUUACCAGGUCUUGACAUCUUCUGACAGUCUAAGAGAUUAGAGGUUCCCUUCGGGGACAGAAUGACAGGUGGUGCAUGGUUGUCGUCAGCUCGUGUCGUGAGAUGUUGGGUUAAGUCCCGCAACGAGCGCAACCCUUAUUACUAGUUGCCAGCAUUAAGUUGGGCACUCUAGUGAGACUGCCGGUGACAAACCGGAGGAAGGUGGGGACGACGUCAAAUCAUCAUGCCCCUUAUGACUGGGGCUA
This 1177-nucleotide ribosomal RNA is filed under the name Pediococcus pentosaceus. RNAcentral's name for it is "bacterial SSU rRNA". It matches the Rfam family "Bacterial small subunit ribosomal RNA", at positions 64 to 1216 of the family's 1533-position model. Lineage: Bacteria; Bacillati; Bacillota; Bacilli; Lactobacillales; Lactobacillaceae. The record is from RNAcentral.